This 497-nucleotide ribosomal RNA is filed under the name uncultured bacterium. Its description in RNAcentral is "partial 16S ribosomal RNA". It matches the Rfam family "Bacterial small subunit ribosomal RNA", at positions 28 to 507 of the family's 1533-position model. The record is from RNAcentral.
GAUGAACGCUGGCGGCGUGCCUAAUACAUGCAAGUCGAGCGAACAGACGAGGAGUUUGCUCCUCAGACGUUAGCGGCGGACGGGUGAGUAACACGUGGAUAAUCUACCUAUAAGACUGGGAUAACUUCGGGAAACCGGAGCUAAUACCGGAUAACAUAUUGAACCGCAUGGUUCAAUAGUGAAAGACGGUUUUGCUGUCACUUAUAGAUGGAUCCGCGCCGCAUUAGCUAGUUGGUAAGGUAACGGCUUACCAAGGCAACGAUGCGUAGCCGACCUGAGAGGGUGAUCGGCCACACUGGAACUGAGACACAGUCCAGACUCCAACGGGAGGCAGCAGUAGGGAGUCUUCCGGAAUGGGCGAAAGCCUGACGGAGCAACGCCGCGUGAGUGAUGAAGGUCUUCGGAUCGUAGAACUCUGUUAUUAGGGAAGAACAAAUGUGUAAGUAACUAUGCACGUCUUGACGGUACCUAAUCAGAAAGCCACGGCUAACUACGUG